This is a long non-coding RNA of Carya illinoinensis, 804 nucleotides long. RefSeq lists it as uncharacterized. Lineage: Eukaryota; Viridiplantae; Streptophyta; Magnoliopsida; Fagales; Juglandaceae. The record is from RefSeq and is a predicted model, not a curated record. The transcript is spliced from 2 exons.
GUUGGGGGACCUUGACUCUUGCAGCAUGCUUGGCUCCUAGGAAAGCGCCCCCCAAGUUAACCCCGACGCAUCGGUCCAGGUCUGCCUUUGUGGUAUCCAGAAUGCUCCCAAACGCGCGAUCCAGAACGCCAGCAUUGUUUGUACGUAGCAGACAUCUUCACCUAGCUUGUUGGCAAUGGCUUGGCCAAGGUCGUCUUGGAUAUCGGCUAUGACAACUUUGGCACCCUGUUCGUGGAAUAGCUGCGCUGCACUUGCUCCAAUCCCACUUGCUCCUCCAGUGAUAAUUGCAACCUUUCCCUCUAGCCUGAGUAAAUCAUUAGAAAAUUAGAUCUAGUACCAUUAACUGACGAAAAAAAUAAAAUUUAAUUAAUUAAUUACCUUUACCUUUUGUAAGUGGGCGCGAUUGAAGAAGUGGCACUCAUCUUCACCUCAAAAACUGGGAAGCCAAAAGGGUAUUGAACUAUGGAAGAAAUUCUUGGAGGUGAUUCUGAUGCUCAAUCCGUAAUGUUGUUUAGGAUUUUAAUAGGAUGAAGACCAAAAUAAUUCGAAUUAGAAAAAUCGUGUUCACAUGUUAGUUGCUUGAAGAAACAACUAUGCAACGUUAACAGUGAGAAAAUGAUCACACGGACUCUGUUUUUAUAUUUUGUAUUAAAUCAAGCAAUACAGUCAUCACAGCAGCACACCGUGCCAGCUACCUCAUCACAGCAAGAUGCCAUGAAUCAUCCAAAUAAUCAGCCAAUCAUGCAAUCACAAGAUGUUUCUAGAAAUAAAAAAUGCUAGCAUUCUGUUAGCAUCUUCUGCAAA